GUCUGUGUGACAUACAGGUAAUUGUUUCUAAGUUAGAUUAGAAAAAUGCGUGUUCGAUUCCCGCAACAGACA
RNAcentral lists this transfer RNA (72 nucleotides) under Reticulomyxa filosa. It matches the Rfam family "tRNA". Rfam says of the family: Transfer RNA (tRNA) molecules are approximately 80 nucleotides in length. Their secondary structure includes four short double-helical elements and three loops (D, anti-codon, and T loops). Further hydrogen bonds mediate the characteristic L-shaped molecular structure. tRNAs have two regions of fundamental functional importance: the anti-codon, which is responsible for specific mRNA codon recognition, and the 3' end, to which the tRNAs corresponding amino acid is attached (by aminoacyl-tRNA synthetases). tRNAs cope with the degeneracy of the genetic code in two manners: having more than one tRNA (with a specific anti-codon) for a particular amino acid; and 'wobble' base-pairing, i.e. permitting non-standard base-pairing at the 3rd anti-codon position. Lineage: Eukaryota; Foraminifera; Reticulomyxidae. The record is from Rfam by way of RNAcentral.